GACGAACGCUGGCGGCGUGCUUAACACAUGCAAGUCGCACGAGGACGAACCUUCGGGUUCGAGCCGAGUGGCGGACGGGUGAGUAACGCGUGGGAAUCUACCUUGGAGCGGGGGACAACCCGGGGAAACCCGGGCUAAUACCGCAUACGUCCUAAGGGAGAAAGAGGGCCUCUGCCUGCAAGCUCUCACUCCAAGAUGAGCCCGCGUCCGAUUAGCUAGUUGGUAGGGUAAAGGCCUACCAAGGCCACGAUCGGUAGCUGGUCUGAGAGGAUGAUCAGCCACACUGGGACUGAGACACGGCCCAGACUCCUACGGGAGGCAG
Molecule: ribosomal RNA, 322 nt
Filed under: uncultured Pseudomonadota bacterium
Lineage: Bacteria; Pseudomonadati; Pseudomonadota
Description: bacterial SSU rRNA
Rfam family: Bacterial small subunit ribosomal RNA
Source: RNAcentral